AUUGUUGGAAUGCCACACAGGGAUAUCCUUUAUUCAUUAUAAAAACCAGUCACAGUAUUUGUAUACUAAUUUAAAAUCCGUAUUUGUUAAAUGUAAACCUAAUGAAGUUUGCUCUAGUGUAGAUCAUUCACACACCAACAUGCAAUGCUUUAAUCUGAGGCUAUAAUCAGAUAAUUUGUAGGUCAACUUUCGCGGUAAACAAUGUCAAUGGGAAUACAUGAGAUUGGAGAGAGAAACGACAGUUUUCAUUGUUUCUGUAAAGUUCUGUUUUUAGAAUCUUCCUCCAAUUCAGGAGCACCUCCAUUGAUGAGUAAUUAUACACUAAAAUCAAAGUAAAUGUUUCUGAACACUUAAAAUGUGACAUUUUUUGUAUAUGAUAAGUAGUCUUCUAUAUAAAAAAAAUUUUGUGUACCAACAUAAUUAUUGAAAUGGUUAAGAAAAAAAAUUAAAAAAAAAUUAAAUGUUGCUUUUUGUAGUUUAUACCUAUUGAGAUUGGGGAGAGCAACUGCAGUUUUCAUUCUUUCUGUAAAGUUAUGUUUUUAGAAUCUUUCUCCAAUUAAGGAGCACCUCAAUUGAUGAGUAAUUACCCACUAAAAUGAAAGUUAAUGUAUCUGAACACUAAACAUGUCACAUUAAGUAUAUAUAUGAUAAGAAGUCAUCAAUUAAAAAAUAAUUUUGCGUACCAACAUAAUUAUUGUAGUGGCCAUUUUUUUUUCAUUUUUUUUUAAAUAUUGCUUUUUGUAGUUUAAAGCUAUUUAUUCAUGAAUUUUACAGAUAUAUCAAAAUGUGGGAUCUGGAAACAAACUUCACACAGCUUAUAUCAAUCAUAUUUGAUUUUAUAAGUACAUGUAUCCCUGUGAUGAGAGUUGUAACUGGGAACUUUAUCAAUGGAAAAUUAAAACUGAAUAGAUUUUUCAGUCCUCACUUUCUUGAGAAUACUGUCACAAAAAAUUGAGAAUGGUCUUAGCCUGCCGUUCAGUUGUACAUAAUUAAAAUUCUAAAAUAUAUUGUAGUAGUUGUUAAAUUCAAUUUGAAUUUUAGAUAAUUAAUCCCAACUUUAAUCAAAUGUUUUGAUUUAGAAGGUGCAGAUCUCAUUGGUCCAAAUUGUCUCUAUGAUGAAUUCUUGACUAAGGAAAUGAAAUAACAAUAAAC
RNAcentral lists this long non-coding RNA (1152 nucleotides) under Mytilus galloprovincialis (Mediterranean mussel). Lineage: Eukaryota; Metazoa; Mollusca; Bivalvia; Mytilida; Mytilidae. The record is from RNAcentral.